GCUAGUGUGGCUCAAUGGCAGAGCACAUCACUCGUAAUGAUGGGGUCUCUGGUU
Molecule: transfer RNA, 54 nt
Filed under: Firmicutes bacterium ASF500
Lineage: Bacteria; Bacillati; Bacillota
Rfam family: tRNA
About the family: Transfer RNA (tRNA) molecules are approximately 80 nucleotides in length. Their secondary structure includes four short double-helical elements and three loops (D, anti-codon, and T loops).
Source: Rfam by way of RNAcentral